RNAcentral lists this ribosomal RNA (272 nucleotides) under uncultured prokaryote. RNAcentral describes it as "partial 16S ribosomal RNA". It matches the Rfam family "Bacterial small subunit ribosomal RNA", at positions 524 to 796 of the family's 1533-position model. The record is from RNAcentral.
UACGUAGGGUGCGAGCGUUGUCCGGAAUUAUUGGGCGUAAAGGGCUCGUAGGCGGUUUGUCGCGUCGGGAGUGAAAACACUGGGCUUAACUCAGUGCUUGCUUUCGAUACGGGCAGACUAGAGGCAUGCAGGGGAGAACGGAAUUCCUGGUGUAGCGGUGAAAUGCGCAGAUAUCAGGAGGAACACCGGUGGCGAAGGCGGUUCUCUGGGCAUGUCCUGACGCUGAGGAGCGAAAGUGUGGGGAGCGAACAGGAUUAGAAACCUAGUAGUCC